UCUGCAAUGUAUGGCUUUGGCAUUGCAGGAAAAUGAAAAGUUUUUAUUUCAGCUGUUCCAGGUAGGCUCCCUACUGGACAACGCUUCGCGUGUCCCGGGACUGAUCUUCACUGGAGCUGUGAACAUUCAAUGAGGAGAAUUUAUGUUUAUACCAAAGCCUCAGAUUCAGUGACUGGCGAUACAAUGCACAAAACCACAGGGAAAUGUUCAAAAGAAGUUAGUUAUAGCAGUUUCAUACCAGAUAAACUUAUUAAAAAAAAAAAAAAGGCAUUUGCUGUUUAGUUCUAGCAUCUAUGUAAGUGUCUAUUUUAACUAUUGUCCCAGAUUACUCAGCUUUAUACUUAGUUUUGCAAAUAGUCUAUGUCAGGCCGAGUUAAGACAGAGUAAGACCAAUUCAGAUGACUAUGGAAAUGAAGAUUGCAUACUGAUAAAUGCCAGAAUGACUGCGCUUCAGUAAUCCCCGCCAGAGCAAUCAUGGAUGUUAAUACUAUUUCUGGAUUGCGCUAUUUUCUUUGAGCCGUUGAAAUGGAAACCAUUUGAUCUAGAAUUGUUGCACUGAAAAAAAAAAAAAAAGCUUUUGUGGGCGAGGAUCUACAUAUUUGUAAAGAAGUGAUUGUGACAUAUACACAGCAAUCUGAAAUACUUCUGACUGCGCAGUGCAUCCGCAAUUGGUCGUGUAACAAAAGCACGCGACAAUGCUGUUAUCAUUGUUUCUAUUGUCUUUCACUUCCCACCGAUGUCUUUUUGUCAGCUUGAUACAUUUUUGGUUCUUUUCAGCUCUUGCUUUGUUUGCUUUGCUUCUGGAGCAAAACUCACCUAAUGAUGCCUUUUCUUAGGCUACACAGGUUUUGUUAGGCUGCACUGUCUAGCAAAACCGGAUCAGUCACUCGGCACACAAACUCGGAGCGAGAUCGGGGUCUGCUGUUUUAGCGAGACUUAUUGUGAGGAAGGGAGCUACGCGAUGCAGCUGUGUCGGACAACAUCAUCUAUGCUGUCUGAAGGUCACUACUGAUUAUUCCAAAUGGUCCCUUCGUAUCUUAGGAUUGGACUCUUCAGCGACUGGUUCAUUUUUUUUUUUUUUUUUCUAAUUAAAUGAAAAAACUCAAUGUAAAUCCAAAGAACCUCUUGCCUGAGAAGCAAAGAGCCAACUAUCAUUUUCAAGAGCUGAGAGAGCAGAAGCAACCAACUAGGUAGUCAGUAUCCCAGUAUGGCCCUAACGAGACCCACCUGUGCUAACGAAGCAGGUGCUGUGGGGCCGGGCUGCCGGGGCACAGCUGUGCCUUGUUGGGAGCCCUGGGCAGGGCCUGCCUCAAAGCCUUUUAAACCCUCACUGGAGGCUCCUGAGAGCUAUAGGGGGAACUUUUGUGGUUCUCUGUGUCUACUGAGAGGCUGCUGGGCUCUCUACCUGCUUUUUUGUGGUUCUGGCUUAGAACUGCAGCUGGGUUCUCCUUUCUUUUGGGGGGGGGGGUCAUCAUGGUACUCUCAUCUGGUUUCUACUUCUUCUUGGUUUGGGGGGGGUUGGCUCAGGAUUGCUGCUUUAUUUCUUGAGGCAAAGCACAACUCUAAGGUUGUGGGUGCUGCAGUUCCUCCUACUCGCCUCAAUGGAGAGGCAAUCAGGAUGAGGCUGUGCCCUCAAGCCCAGCGCUGGUGCUGCUUAGUGUGAGAACUGCAGUGGCACCUUUUACAGCAAGGAUCAAUGGAAGCCCGUGAGCAGCUUCGCCGCCAGGGAAACUACGGAGGCUGAAGAAGACAUCCAUCCUGCUGCAAGCCUAGAUGCCCGAGGGGACAUCCUUGCCUGGAUGCUCCCUGCUUGGCCCUAACGAGGCCCAUCAGUGCUACUGAAGAAAUGACCUCCAGGUGCUGUGAGGCUGGGAUGGUCUGGGCGCAGCCGUACUCAGUCGGAGCCCGGGGCAGGACCCGGCCAAAGCUUUUUAGCCUCUGCCGGUUUCUCCCGGAGCUCCCUGUCGCUAGCAAGAAGCUGCCAGGCAGUUACCCUGCUUUUCAAGGCUUGCACAGGGACGGUGCUGCCAGGCUGCCAGGCCCUGACCUUGCUUUUUUUUUUUUUUUUUUUUUUUUUUUUUUUUGUUAGCCAGCAUGAGUUUGUCAUAAUAUUAUGGUUCUGCUUUUCCUUUUUUCUUUUUUUUUUUUUUUUCCCUUCCCUCCAGCUAGCGCACGUGGCUGCUUAUGUGCUCACAUCCUGCCUGCUUUGGAGCAGGACCUCUAGAAGCAAGGAUCAGCCCCGGAGAGGGCGCGAGACGGUGGCCGAUCCUCGCUGUGAGUAGUCUCCUUCACAAAGAGAAGGCAGGCGCCCGGGAACUGGAGCCACCCGGCCUCAGGGCUGCCGGCGCCGCCGUUGUCUUUCCGCAGGUUUGGGGCCAGCGGGAGGAUGCCGGUGGCGUUAAAGCGCAGAUGGACCCGGAGAGCGAGGCGAGCGCGGAGCGCCCUCGGGAUGGAGUCGUAAGCCGGGCGUCGGAAGACAGACUCGGCUCUUGCGGUCGGAGGCGCGCAGGUUGCGGUGCAGUCGACGACGUCGAGGAAGGCCACCAGCCCUGCCCUCGCGGAAGUCGUUGAAGAGCCGCGAGGCACGGGAGCGAGCAGGGAGCGACCGGCGGCCGCCCUGAAGGAGAGCCCAAGUACGGUAACGGGCGUCCCGCCCCAUCAGCGUCGCAGCGCCUCCGGUUGGACGAGGCUGUCAAGUAAGCGUUACGGUUUUGGUCUAUUUUUCCAGUGUUUUUCUUAAGCGAAGCAAUGUUAAAUGAAAGCUGUUUGUUUGGAAGCGGUGGAGGAAGGAGCGCCUUGUUUUAGUAAGGUGUCUUUGAGCAAGCACAAGAACGCCUCUGAAAGCAGAGUAAGUGCAGUUCCUCUGCUGUAAUUAUUGUAUGUAAGUUAGUUUUUCAUGGGAUUACCGGUAAGCUUCCCGCUAUUUCUGAAUGUAAGACUAUUAUUGGUUAGCUUAGAAUUACAGUUGAAGAAAAAUUGAUUUACUAGAAAACUAACUAAAAGUAUCUCCAACUAAAAGUAUCUUACCUGACUGUAAGAUGUGUCUUACCGUGGGCUGGUAAAGAGAAGGAAAUGGCCUUUCACCCUCUGCAAGUAAACUUCUUUUUAAAUUCGUGCCUGCGGGCGAUUAAAAAAAGGCAAGUAGCUGAGUUAAUGCUCCGGUUCUUUUCUUUACUGCGUUUUUUACUGCGUUCCCCAGAAGACUGUUUGCUGAUCUCUUAUUGUUUCUGCUCGAGGGGAGCGAGUCCUAUGCCUCUAGGACAGGAAAUACCCCAGACCCAGCCUGCGGUUUGGAAGCGGCUCGCUGCUGCUGCUCUGCCGGUUCCAGUGCCCCUCAGUCUCUCAAAAUGGCCUGUAGCACAUAAAGCCAUAACAGUUGCGCUGCCAGAGGGUGAAGCUGCCAUUUAAAAGGAACUUGACGCCAAGCUGGGGGAACCUCAGGAAGCUCGGAAAAGGAAAAAGCAGAGCCCAGUACAGCAGGUGUUAUUUUCUCACCUCCUCCUGCGCUGUCCGGUUGUGGGACAGGGAGAAAGCUAUGGGGUUACCUGGGGAGACUGGAAUUUCAGCAGACUAAAGCCCUGAGCAACUUCAUCAGCUGCUGAAGAGGUAUCUGAUGUCAAGGCUGACGGAUCAGAUAACUUCAGGAUUCCUUUUCUGGGAAAAGAAAGUGCUAUGACUGUCAUCUCAGCGGCUUCUUUCACUGUGUUAUGUGAAAGAGGGCUGGUGCUGCUCAGCACUUAGAUAAUUGCCUGAGGAGAGGUUACAUUCCCUUUUUUAAAAAAAGUAGGUGAUCAUUUUGUUGUAAAAGCAAGUUCCUGUAUAUGCAUUUGAUUAGUUUCUGACUUCCUAAAGCUACAACAGCAAAGAGAGCCUUCCUUCUAUGCCAAGAGCCCCUGCUGCAAGUACUUUCUCAACUGUAGAUUUUAUCACUACUACUUCCAGAGUUUGCUACAGAAAACAGAUGUCUUGUGAAGUACUUCAACCUGUUGGGCUCCUGACUGGUCUUACUCCAGAAACUGAAGUUAUUCAAGAGUGGUCUCAUAGCUGUCACAGCUUGCUAUCACUCCAUGAGCUUAAUUCCCAAAGCACAAACCCUUUUGAAACACUGAAAAGUAGCAGCAUGGCUGGCAACUGCACCUCUCAGCACCAGUGAAUGCAAGGAGAAUUAAUUUUUGUCACAACUUUGUGCAAUGAUUGUUUUUCCAGUUUUUUAUAAGUGACAAGACCACUGUAUACAUUAGACUACGGCUGUGUGUUUCUUCCAGGAGAACAAAUGACAAAAGGCCAGAGCGGACAGAGUGAUACUAUCCAGCUGUUGGUGGCCUGCUCGACUGGAUGAGAGUGGGGCUAGAUGGCCCUUAGGCAUCUCUCCAGAACAAAUGAUUCCGUACUUAAAUCAGAUAAUGUUUUAAAAAAAAAAAGGGAUUUUUACUGUUAAAUUAUUUAAUAUAUAAUCAGUAAUGACAAGUUUAGUUAACUGUUUUUCACAAUUUGUAAUACUAGUUAUUAUAUUGCUAUUACUGUUAUAUUCUAUUGUUACACUACAGAUGCUUUCAAGUUGGUUUGGGUAUGUUUGCUGCAUAAAAUCCUGGCUACAAAAGGAAAUCAAAGCUGAACCUUGGUCAAGAUAAUACCUUGUAUAGAAAUAUGCUUACUUGACUCAUCAAAGAAUGUAGAACGAUCGUGCUUUGUAAUGCUUAUGUGAUCACUGUAGUUCUCUACUUCCCCUUCUGCCAUAUUAAAUUUUUUACUACAAGCUACUA
Molecule: long non-coding RNA, 4763 nt
Organism: Lagopus muta (rock ptarmigan)
Lineage: Eukaryota; Metazoa; Chordata; Aves; Galliformes; Phasianidae
Exons: 8
Source: RefSeq, a predicted model, not a curated record